This 483-nucleotide ribosomal RNA is filed under the name uncultured bacterium. RNAcentral describes it as "partial 16S ribosomal RNA". It matches the Rfam family "Bacterial small subunit ribosomal RNA", at positions 28 to 523 of the family's 1533-position model. The record is from RNAcentral.
GACGAACGCUGGCGGCGUGCUUAACACAUGCAAGUCGAACGGUGACGCUGGAGCUUGCUCCAGCUGAUCAGUGGCGAACGGGUGAGUAACACGUGAGCAACCUGCCCUUGACUCUGGGAUAACCCCGGGAAACCGGAGCUAAUACCGGAUACGAGCCGCACAGGCAUCUGCGCGGUUGGAAAGUUUUUCGGUCAAGGAUGGGCUCGCGGCCUAUCAGCUUGUUGGUGGGGUAACGGCCCACCAAGGCGACGACGGGUAGCCGGCCUGAGAGGGCGACCGGCCACACUGGGACUGGGACACGGCCCAGACUCCUACGGGAGGCGGCAGUGGGGAAUAUUGCACAAUGGGCGAAAGCCUGAUGCAGCGACGCCGCGUGAGGGAUGAAGGCCUUCGGGUUGUAAACCUCUUUCAGCAGGGAAGAAGCGAAAGUGACGGUACCUGCAGAAGAAGCACCGGCUAACUACGUGCCAGCCGCCGCCGUAA